GGAUGAACGCUAGCGGCAGGCUUAAUACAUGCAAGUCGAGGGGGCAGCAAUGUCACCGGCGAACGGGUGCGUAACGCGUAUGCAACCUACCUACAUCAGGGGGAUAGCCCUAGGAAACUGGGAUUAACACCGCAUAAUAUAAGAUACGGCAUCGUAACUUAUUGAAAUAUUUAUAGGAUGUAGAUGGGCAUGCGUAGGAUUAGCUAGUUGGUAAGGUAACGGCUUACCAAGGCUACGAUCCUUAGGGGCUCUGAGAGGAGUAUCCCCCACACUGGCACUGAGAUACGGGCCAGAACUCCUACGGGAGGCAGCAGUAGGGAAUAUUGGGCAAUGGAGGCAACUCUGACCCAGCCAUGCCGCGUGCAGGAAGACGGUCCUCUGGAUUGUAAACUGCUUUUGAAUGGGAAGAAUGUGCUCCUUGCGAGGGGUAAUGACGGUACCAUUAGAAUAAGCCACGGCUAACUACGUGCCAGCAGCCGCGGUAAUACGUAGGUGGCGAGCGUUAUCCGGAUUUAUUGGGUUUAAAGGGUGCGUAGGCGGCUUAAUAAGUCGGUGGUUAAAAGUAGCAGCUUAACUGUUUUACAUGCCAUCGAUACUGUUGAGCUUGA
This 608-nucleotide ribosomal RNA is filed under the name uncultured bacterium. RNAcentral describes it as "bacterial SSU rRNA". It matches the Rfam family "Bacterial small subunit ribosomal RNA", at positions 27 to 645 of the family's 1533-position model. The record is from RNAcentral.